RNAcentral lists this ribosomal RNA (450 nucleotides) under uncultured bacterium. RNAcentral describes it as "partial 16S ribosomal RNA". It matches the Rfam family "Bacterial small subunit ribosomal RNA", at positions 354 to 796 of the family's 1533-position model. The record is from RNAcentral.
GUGGGGAAUUUUGGACAAUGGGCGCAAGCCUGAUCCAGCAAUGCCGCGUGCAGGAAGAAGGCCUUCGGGUUGUAAACUGCUUUUGUACGGAACGAAACGGUCCUGGUUAAUACCUGGGGCUAAUGACGGUACCGUAAGAAUAAGCACCGGCUAACUACGUGCCAGCAGCCGCGGUAAUACGUAGGGUGCAAGCGUUAAUCGGAAUUACUGGGCGUAAAGCGUGCGCAGGCGGUUUUGUAAGACAGAGGUGAAAUCCCCGGGCUCAACCUGGGAACUGCCUUUGUGACUGCAAGGCUAGAGUGCGGCAGAGGGGGAUGGAAUUCCGCGUGUAGCAGUGAAAUGCGUAGAUAUGCGGAGGAACACCGAUGGCGAAGGCAAUCCCCUGGGCCUGUACUGACGCUCAUGCACGAAAGCGUGGGGAGCAAACAGGAUUAGAAACCCUGGUAGUCC